Molecule: ribosomal RNA, 894 nt
Filed under: uncultured bacterium
Lineage: Bacteria
Description: bacterial SSU rRNA
Rfam family: Bacterial small subunit ribosomal RNA
Source: RNAcentral
AGAGUUUGAUCCUGGCUCAGGAUGAACGCUGGCGGCGUGCCUAACACAUGCAAGUCGAACGUGAAACCCGAUGCUUGCAUUGGGGAGUAAAGUGGCGAACGGGUGAGUAACACGUUGGUGACCUGCCCCGAGGUGGGGGACAACUGUGGGAAACCACAGCUAAUACCCCAGAUGUUGAGGAGUCUAGACGUCCUUAACUAAAGUUCCGACGCCUCGGGAGGGGCCUGCGGGCUAUCAGCUUGUUGGUGGGGUAAUGGCCUACCAAGGCUCAGACGGCUAGGGGGCGUGAGAGCGCGACCCCCCACAAUGGAACUGAGACACGGUCCAUACUCCUACGGGAGGCAGCAGUGAGGAAUAUUGCGCAAUGGGGGAAACCCUGACGCAGCAACGCCGCGUGGAUGAUGAAGGCCUUCGGGUUGUAAAAUCCUUUUCUGAGGGACGAUAAUGACGGUACCUCAGGAAUAAGUCCCGGCUAACUACGUGCCAGCAGCCGCGGUAAAACGUAGGGGGCGAGCGUUAUCCGGAUUUAUUGGGCGUAAAGCGCGCGUAGGCGGCACUGUAAGUUGGGCGUGAAAGCUCUCGGCUUAACUGAGAGAGGUCGUUCAAAACUACAGUGAUUGAGGUUGGAAGAGGAGAGUGGAAUUUCAGGUGUAGUGGUGGAAUGCGUAGAUAUCUGAAGGAACACCAGUGGCGAAAGCGACUCUCUGGUCCACACCUGACGCUGAGGUGCGAAAGCGUGGGUAGCGAACGGGAUUAGAUACCCCGGUAGUCCACGCCGUAAACGAUGGAUACUAGGUGUAGGAGGUUAUUUACCCCUUCUGUGCCAAAGCAAACGCGUUAAGUAUCCCGCCUGGGGACUACGACCGCAAGGUUAAAACUCAAAGGAAUUGACGG